Molecule: transfer RNA, 77 nt
Filed under: Porphyromonadaceae bacterium COT-184 OH4590
Lineage: Bacteria; Pseudomonadati; Bacteroidota; Bacteroidia; Bacteroidales; Porphyromonadaceae
Description: tRNA-Met
Rfam family: tRNA
About the family: Transfer RNA (tRNA) molecules are approximately 80 nucleotides in length.
Source: RNAcentral
GGCGGGAUAGCUCAGUUGGUUAGAGCGUCGGAUUCAUAACCCGGAGGUCACGAGUUCAAAUCUCGUUCCCGCUACAA